GCAGAAGAUUUUGAAAUUUUGGAGUUUAGACAUGUGGUCUUCUCUGCCUUUUGGCUAAGAUCAAGUGUAGUAUCUGUUCUUAUCAGUUUAAUAUCUGAUACGGCCUCUAUCCGAGGACAAUAUAUUAAAUAGAUUUUUGGAGCAGGGAGAUGGAAUAGGAG
Long non-coding RNA from Cebus imitator (Panamanian white-faced capuchin), 161 nucleotides. RefSeq lists it as uncharacterized. The record is from RefSeq and is a predicted model, not a curated record. NCBI's taxonomy places the organism in Eukaryota, Metazoa, Chordata, Mammalia, Primates, Cebidae. The transcript is spliced from 3 exons.